Molecule: transfer RNA, 66 nt
Filed under: Lunella aff. cinerea STW-2013
Lineage: Eukaryota; Metazoa; Mollusca; Gastropoda; Trochida; Turbinidae
Description: tRNA-Tyr
Source: RNAcentral
UGCGGGGUGGCCGAGUAAUAGGCGAAAGAUUGUAGAUCUUUUAACGGAAGUGUUUUCCCCCCGUAA